RNAcentral lists this long non-coding RNA (2941 nucleotides) under Equus caballus (horse). RNAcentral's name for it is "lncRNA (ENSECAG00000044190.1)". The record is from RNAcentral. Lineage: Eukaryota; Metazoa; Chordata; Mammalia; Perissodactyla; Equidae.
AGUAGCCACAAGAAAAGCCCUUCCAGAAAAUUCCCAGCAAAUGCUCUGUGUUCUUGGAGACACCAUAUUGUUUUUCUCUCUCCUGUAGUUUCUGUAGCUGAUGGUUUUGAGAUCUAGUUACAGUUUUUCCUAGAGAUUCUUUAGCCACAAAUCCCCCAGGCUGAAGCUUGGACAAAACAAUAACCGACAGUGAUUUUCAACAGUAAGAGCUCUACUCGUCUUUUGUACCUUACCUUGCUGAAAGUGGGGAGGACAGGCUUAUGGGGGACAUGGACUUGCCCAUGAACAACCGUUGUGGCGCUCAAAGGCUGAUAUGAAUGUGUGGUCAUACAUUUCGGCUUGGGAAAAAGUGUUCUUAGGAGAGUUAAUUCAUCCAUCCAUGGUGAGUUGCUGGCCUAGGGGACUACUUUAGAGGAGCCAGUUUCUUGAGGCUGAGGAGUCCUUCAUUGCUUUAUAAAAGGGGACAGACAGAUCCUAAAUGUCCACACCAGGGUUACUAACUUUGUUUCCAGCUCAUGUCUUCUGGUAAAUCAUCACGAGGCCUCUAAACCAGAGGCACAACACUAGUGUUGCAGCUGGGACUGGUCGUUCUGAAAGCAGUGUCCCGCUGCAUGUUUAAUUUUCCCAAGGGACAGGCAGAGACCCUCCAAUAUAGAGGUUCCUAAACUUUUGGGAGGUGAUAAACCCUCUUGCAAAGAGUUUAAAAGCUAUGAAUCCUCUCCUCAGAUAGAUGCACAACACUAAAUACACCUUCCGGGGUCACCAUAGUCCUCGCACCCAACGUCGAGAAGCUCUGCUCUAAUGGCUGAAGACCAAGCCACACAGCGGAGAAUGGACGCUCCCAUUAUCCUUGUGGAAGCUGCUGCUUCCAACAGUAGGUCUCAGCUGCUGAUGUUUAUGUAGUGAAGUCGUAUUUGCACCUUUUGAGUGAACGGUACCUUUGGAGUAACUGACUGCAUUUUCUAGAGUCAGACUAAAGAGUCAGUUAGGAGACUGAGUGGGUGGCAGUUGCCUGGACUGAUCGGGCAGCUGGCACUGACCUCUGUUUGCUCCCUGGCCACCAGGUAUUAUCUUAUUCCAGAUCCAAAUCAUUGUCUGUGUUCAGUCUCACUGGAACGUGGGGAGGCUGCACAUAACACUGGGUAAAUGUUUUGUCCUACUUUGUAGUUGUACUGUGAGAAUGCUAGAAACUUCCGCCUAUAUGGUGGGUCUUAUUGCAUGAUCAUGGUUUGUUUGUGAAAUUACCUGCUCACUGAGGAUUCUCUGCUGUCCAAGAAUGAGCCAAGGCGUGGCAGCAGGGCAUGGUGGGCCUCGUUCCUGUGAGAAUUAGUUCAGCUCUUGGAGGCGGACUGUUGCACAACUUUUUAAAUAAAUGCAUUUGUGUUUAGUUAAUUUUGCUUUUUGUCAGUUCAGGGUAAAUUGAAGAUCUAUGAGGGUGGGAGUUUUUAUCCACUGCUGUAUCACAAGCUCCUAAAACAGUGACUGGUGUGUCAUAGGCAUUCUGUAAAGGUUUGUGGAAUGAAUGAACACCCUGCUGUGAUACGUCCUAGUUUGUUGGCAAUUGUGAUUUGAUUUUAAAAGGCAAGGGCAGGGGAACUCAUUUAGCCUUUUCGUAGGGGGAGAAAUAUUUCUGUAAAUGAAUAGGUUUGCUCAUAUAAGUAGUGCCAGUUCUUAGCUUUUUAUUGUGGAGUAAGUUGUGAGCACUUUUCAAGUUCAAUACAAGUUCAGUGUUGCCUGCAAUGAUUAGGAAAAUUGAAGUUUUGUGGUUUUUUUGCUGAGGAACAGUCGGCCUGAGCUAACAUCUGUUGCCAAUUUUCCUGUUUUUUUGCUUGACGAAGAUCGGCCCUGAGCUAACAUCUGUGUCACUCUUCCUCGAUUUUGUAUGUGGGUUGCCGCUACAGCAUGGCUGACCAGUAGUCUAGGUCCAUGCUCAGGAUCUGAACCCGCAAAUCCAGGACACCAAAGCGUAGUACGCCAAACUUAACCACUACACCAUGGGGCCAGUUUUAAAGGUCCUGGUCUCCAUAAUUUCCCAGAAUAACCUCUUGAAAAGGGACAUUGAUUGAAGUGUGCAAUUACCAGUAAUUGAGGUUUCAUUUGAGGGCAUUGAGAUGAAAUGGCUCCUUCUGGGCCAUCAUUGGCAUUUUGACCCUAUUUUUGACAAGUAAAGUGAAACCGUUAAAAAAGUUGGCCAAGAUGAUAUUGUGUCAUUUGUGAAAUAUAAUAGAUGUUAAUUCAUGAUUGGUUUGUCCUGCCUGCUUUAAAUGAGAUGUAUUGUGUUUCUGGGUUUUCUUUUUAGCUGUAAAAAUACUUUGUCAGUUAAAGCAUGAGAUUUGAUCAGUAAUUGUUCUUCAAGUUCCUCAAAGUUAUAAAAGUUUCUCAUGUCUUGAGUGCUUUCCCCUUGCCCAUCAGAGGAGGAAAAACCCUUGUAGAAUUUGACACAAGUGUUCCCUACAAAAACUGAAGCCAUCAGCUCCUCUUUAAUAAGUUGGCUUUUUAAAAGCACCGUAAUUACAAUUUAACAUAUUCUGUAAAGUGGUGCUUGAGGCAUAAUUUGAAUUCUUUUUAAUGACUAAAUUUCUUAAGAACUUUUAAAGAAAAAUAUGUCUGUUCUUUUUGCUGUGUCAUUUGGUGAGACCGAUUGGUUUCUAGUCCACAAAGAUUGAAGGAUGAGAUCAUAUCAUGGGGUUAGAAAAUGAUCCUUUUUUAAAAAGCACAAGAAUCUUGAAAACUCCACGUUUUGGUGGUUAUCACUAUUAUGUUUCAUAUCUCCACAUGAGUCACUUGUCCAAGUUCUGUAUUCUGAUCAGACUGACUCCUCUUUAAGGAGGGAUGAAAGGCUGAAAAUCAAGGCUGCUGUGUCUAUAGAAAAAAGUGAAACACUGUUUUAAUUCUGCACUGUUGUCUCCACCUAAAUAAAACAACUCUGAGUAAUGGAAAA